Molecule: ribosomal RNA, 32 nt
Filed under: Podospora intestinacea
Lineage: Eukaryota; Fungi; Ascomycota; Sordariomycetes; Sordariales; Podosporaceae
Description: partial 28S ribosomal RNA
Source: RNAcentral
UAGGAAUACCCGCUGAACUUAAGCAUAUCAAA